GGGGAUUUAGUUCAGUGGCAUAAGCACCUGCCUUGCAAGCAGGAAGUCGCGAGUUCAAUCCCCA
RNAcentral lists this transfer RNA (64 nucleotides) under Cavia porcellus (domestic guinea pig). It matches the Rfam family "tRNA". From Rfam's summary of the family: Transfer RNA (tRNA) molecules are approximately 80 nucleotides in length. Their secondary structure includes four short double-helical elements and three loops (D, anti-codon, and T loops). Lineage: Eukaryota; Metazoa; Chordata; Mammalia; Rodentia; Caviidae. The record is from Rfam by way of RNAcentral.